UGGUACCAAAUGAAAAGGGAAAAGCAAUACCUAUUAUUGAACUACUGAAAAAAGAGGACAGCAUUACUAGGAAGUUAACUUAGGACUUGAAGUGGUCCCUGGCUUGGCUAGAUGGGCUUUGAUUCUGUAAAUUAAUUCUAGGUAUUAUAUGCUCUGUUUCAUUGAACCUAGUGGCUAGUCCAUACCUUUUUGUUAUUCUGGCUAUAUGUUGCCCUGUUAAAAUACAGAAUUCCACUUAGCUUCAAUCCUACGCUAGUUCGAGAGGCUAUAUGGAUCAUUUCCUCCAUUAUGUUCAACUCAGGGAAUAGGGAUAUAUUCAAUAGAGAUCUAUGGUCCUUAUAUAUAUGGCUGCU
RNAcentral lists this long non-coding RNA (353 nucleotides) under Manihot esculenta (cassava). RNAcentral describes it as "long non-coding RNA (MESC_LNC003274)". The record is from RNAcentral. Lineage: Eukaryota; Viridiplantae; Streptophyta; Magnoliopsida; Malpighiales; Euphorbiaceae.